This is a long non-coding RNA of Zingiber officinale, 2366 nucleotides long. RefSeq lists it as uncharacterized. NCBI's taxonomy places the organism in Eukaryota, Viridiplantae, Streptophyta, Magnoliopsida, Zingiberales, Zingiberaceae. The transcript is spliced from 2 exons. The record is from RefSeq and is a predicted model, not a curated record.
UCUUACUUGGGGUAUUGUAAAGAGUUUGGCAAUAAGAAUCUAUAAGUUUCUCAUCCUUUCUUCUUAUUUCUUUUGCUAAACUUAUAUAGAUCUAUCGAUCCUAGAUCCUCGCACCCCACACUCACACACCUUAUGAUCUCGCCUCUGUAAUCAUAGUUAAUAACUCCAGUGCCAAUAUCCAUUCCAUAUUUUCAUGUGUAGCUAGAUCUGGGGGUGAUUCACCCAUAGCUUCCCCAUGGAAUUGCCAUACCGAUACCAGUAUGAAUUUGAGCCCUCCUUCGUGGAGGUAUGGUGCAAUUAUGACUUGCUGCUAAAUCAUAUCCUACAACACUCGAGGACUUUCUCUUAGGUAAAAUUGCAGAGGGAGAGAAUAAGUAUACCGGAACGUCGGGAUAAAUUUGAUCUUCAAGAAUUUCAUCUACUGGGUCAUAAAUAUAUGUGAAUACUCUUAGUGCCUGCUCCAUGAGAACCACCAAUGUAUGUAAGGACUCUUCGUCACUUUGUAUUUCUUCAUCACAGUGGUUGUAACGAGGUUGCUCUGUCAUCCUUGCUUCUCUGUAAUUGCUGAAAUUUAAUGAAAUUCACCCGCCCAUAAAGUUCCUAUUGCUUUACCUCUGUAGGUUGCAUAGGAAUAUUAAGGGCCGUUGGACGGAUUGUCCAGUUUAACUACUGGCGAAUCCGACAUUGACCCCAUGACUAGCUAAAUAGUCGACGACUCCUUGUAUUUCAUAGGCGAAUCCGACAUUAGGGAUGUUCGAUAGUCUUUCGAUAAGCCCUCUUGUGAUUAGUAGAUUUGCCUCACCAUGCCACCACUGCUCAUAUGCUCAAGUAAGGAUGGUGACUUGAAUAUUUUGAAAAAAAUCACCAACUGUUAGCAUUAGAUUGGGAAUUACAUAGACGAGUUGGCUUCGCCUGGUUAGGUCCACUUUUAUGGAUGCGAGGAUGGCUUGAUCUCCUUCCCAUCGGUUAUCACGAAAUACUAUUAAGGUCAUGGUCCCUUCUUUCCGUCGAUGUAGGGUCUGUAUUCGAACUUGCAGUACACCUAGGUGGAUAUAUUGCAUCCUGCUCCUUUGAAGUUGGAGAAAGCUUUCUUCUUGGAUGAACGUUUUGUCUGCCUGAUGGCCUUCUGUAACCAAUAUUGCUUCUUCAAAUCGGUGCAUAUAGAUCCGGUGGUGUACAUCAUCUCUUCGGGAGUGAUACAGAACCUCCACAGAGACAAUAGAGGGUCUUUCCUAUAUAGAGAGACGUAGCUGUACUUGGGGAUCUAUUUGUUGUUCAAGGGCGUGAAUUGGUACAGAUCCUCCAGUUAAUCUUUUGCCCAAUCUCCUGGUAGCUUGCUGAGCAUUAUGGAGCCUCCUUUGGUUACGUUGAUAUUCCCUAAUUUGGUCUUCAAAUAGGAGUGUUGUUGUUGUAGAUGGUUGCUCAACGCUGGUUCUUGAGAUCAUUAUGUCUUUAAUUUUUUCCUGUUCUUCCUUCAAGAUCAUGUACGGGUCUUUGAAGACUCUUAGUUUGCCUCUGGGUUCUUUUGGCCUUUCUGCUGGCCCUAAAGAAAGAUUCUUUAGUUUUUCAAUAAUAUCUUCAGGCACAAUUUUUACCUGAGUCUCGCCUUUUGCAUGAUCUCUGAUAACUUUGAGGUCUCUUUGAAUCUCCUUCAAGCUCUCAGCUAUUUGUACUAACAACUGAAUUUGGGUGUUAUUUUGUUUGAUGAUUGAUGAGUUUCCAGAGGUUGGUCCUUGAAAAUCACUAGGAUUGACGAAUUCGACAGUUGGUGCCUCAAUUUGCUCUGUUGCUUGAACAAAGUUCUGGUAUGAUGUGGUACCCUUGGUUCUCAUUUAGCUUUAAUGGCUCUUGUUCCACCAGCUUAGGGUGCUCAGCAAUUUCUGCAAUAAGGUGCUAUGACCUCUUGCUUUGUCAAAGGUCUAUUUUCUAUAUAAGUAAUGGUUAGAUUUUUCAAGCCUUGGCUUAGUCAUUGGACUUCGCUCUCAAGGGUUUGACACCUUUCUAGAAUGUUUUUGAAAUGCUUCAGGUGAACACGAGAAGAUAGACUCUAUCAUAAAUGGCGGCUAGGUUAUUUGCUAACUGGCUAUUGGUAACUUUGGAUGUGGAAGCAAGAUCAACUUAUUCAAGGCUUGCGGUUCAGGAAUUCUUAUACCAAUCCUACACAGAUUUUUUUUCCCAUAACUCAGACAUCUAACUUUAAAUUCUCUUAGUUAGGACAGUUCCUCUCCAGGUUUUACUCACACAAGUAUGCCCUCGGUCUUUCUAUGGCUCACUAGCCUUUAGGCCGAGUUAGGACUUGUUCUUUUGUAUUUCUUGAUUUACAUAAUAUCAACAAUCUUAAAGAAUUUUAAGUAGAAUACCGGACA